AACGAACGCUGGCGGCAUGCCUAACACAUGCAAGUCGAACGAGACCUUCGGGUCUAGUGGCGCACGGGUGCGUAACGCGUGGGAACCUGCCCUUAGGUUCGGAAUAACUCCCCGAAAGGGGUGCUAAUACCGGAUAAUGUCUUCGGACCAAAGAUUUAUCGCCUUUGGAUGGGCCCGCGUUGGAUUAGCUAGUUGGUAGGGUAAAAGCCUACCAAGGCGACGAUCCAUAGCUGGUCUGAGAGGAUGAUCAGCCACACUGGGACUGAGACACGGCCCAGACUCCUACGGGAGGCAGCAGUGGGGAAUAUUGGACAAUGGGCGAAAGCCUGAUACAGCAAUGCCGCCUGAGUGAUGAAGGCCUUAGGGUUGUAAAGCUCUUUUACCCGGGAUGAUAAUGACAGUACCAGGAGAAUAAGCUCCGGCUAACUCCGUG
This 433-nucleotide ribosomal RNA is filed under the name uncultured bacterium. RNAcentral describes it as "partial 16S ribosomal RNA". It matches the Rfam family "Bacterial small subunit ribosomal RNA", at positions 29 to 507 of the family's 1533-position model. The record is from RNAcentral.